GCCCCGUUGGCCUAGUGGUUACAUCGUCUGCCUCGAAUGCAGGAGGCGUGGGUUUGAUCCCCAACCGAGUCA
Molecule: non-coding RNA, 72 nt
Organism: Potamilus streckersoni
Lineage: Eukaryota; Metazoa; Mollusca; Bivalvia; Unionida; Unionidae
Source: the annotation of a GenBank genome assembly